Molecule: unclassified non-coding RNA, 345 nt
Filed under: uncultured fungus
Lineage: Eukaryota; Fungi
Description: partial contains small subunit ribosomal RNA, internal transcribed spacer 1, and 5.8S ribosomal RNA
Rfam family: Eukaryotic small subunit ribosomal RNA (bases 1-73)
Source: RNAcentral
GCAAACUUGGUCAUUUAGAGGAAGUAAAAGUCGUAACAAGGUUUCCGUAGGUGAACCUGCGGAAGGAUCAUUCAUGAUACAUAACAAAUAAAAAUAAUUUUUUAUUUGAGUUUUUGUGUGCAUGGUAAUUGUAUGAUUGUAUUUCCAAUCAUCUUUUGUCACUUGUUGUAGCCUUUAACAUGAGCAAUAUUUUUUGCUUUUUGUGGGCUACAACAGCGUUUGAUCAUUCAAAUGUGUUUGCUGAGGGUAAAAAAUAAAAGCAUUAUUGCAGAUUUUUAUAAUAUAUAUAUAAAAACAACUUUUAGCAAUGGAUCUCUAGGCUCUCGCAUCGAUGAAGAACGCAGC